ACGGGGAUCCUGGCUCUGU
Molecule: unclassified non-coding RNA, 19 nt
Filed under: Chlamydomonas reinhardtii
Lineage: Eukaryota; Viridiplantae; Chlorophyta; Chlorophyceae; Chlamydomonadales; Chlamydomonadaceae
Description: small RNA Cre_0337
Source: RNAcentral